This 433-nucleotide ribosomal RNA is filed under the name uncultured bacterium. RNAcentral describes it as "partial 16S ribosomal RNA". It matches the Rfam family "Bacterial small subunit ribosomal RNA", at positions 29 to 507 of the family's 1533-position model. The record is from RNAcentral.
AGCGAACGCUGGCGGCAGGCCUAACACAUGCAAGUCGAACGAACUCUUCGGAGUUAGUGGCGGACGGGUGAGUAACACGUGGGAACGUGCCUUUAGGUUCGGAAUAACUCAGGGAAACUUGUGCUAAUACCGAAUGUGCCCUUCGGGGGAAAGAUUUAUCGCCUUUAGAGCGGCCCGCGUCUGAUUAGCUAGUUGGUGAGGUAAAGGCUCACCAAGGCGACGAUCAGUAGCUGGUCUGAGAGGAUGAUCAGCCACAUUGGGACUGAGACACGGCCCAAACUCCUACGGGAGGCAGCAGUGGGGAAUCUUGCGCAAUGGGCGAAAGCCUGACGCAGCCAUGCCGCGUGAAUGAUGAAGGUCUUAGGAUUGUAAAAUUCUUUCACCGGGGACGAUAAUGACGGUACCCUGAGAAGAAGCCCCGGCUAACUUCGUG